AAGCCCAGCCUGCAGCCUGCAGCCUGCAGCCUGAUGUCUGGGCAAAGGCCUCAGCAGACAAACUGUUCAGUCAUUGGCUGCACAGCCCAACACACAUUUACAUAUGUACAUUUAUGUAAAUUAUUUUUUACAAUGUCCGGCUAGAGUCAGAAAAACCGGAAAGUGUGUGACCCACUUUGUGUCGGACUGCUUUCACAACCUCGGUCAGUACAACAGUGGACUGGCUGAAAGACUGUUCCUGAAAGAGGGAUUGUACCAACUGUCUGUGGAGAGACGGCAGAGGAAGUAACUGGAAGUAUUUUUAAGAAUUGAUGCUGUUUUUCAUUGUUCGUGUAAUGCUAGCACAUGCUAACAGUUGUUAGCUACAGGAGCCUCAGUGAAGCUAACAGAAUAAGUGACCUGAUGAAGCUCAGGUGUUCCUGGACCGAUCAGAGGACAGAGACAGCUGCAGCAUCAGGACAGUCUGGGUAUCCAAAGGAAGACUCAACAAGAUGAACACUGACUGCAGAGCUCCAUUACCAGCUCACACUUCAAUAUACUAGAAACCAUAAACCUUGAUGUAGGACAUAGUCUGCACAGUUUACAUAAAAGUUAUAGCUUUGUUACUUACAACAUGUGUAACUGGAAUAUGAAAGAUAAAUAAAGUGUUUUACUUUUAAGAAGA
Dicentrarchus labrax (European seabass) is the source of this 664-nucleotide long non-coding RNA. RefSeq lists it as uncharacterized. NCBI's taxonomy places the organism in Eukaryota, Metazoa, Chordata, Actinopteri, Moronidae. The transcript has 2 exons. The record is from RefSeq and is a predicted model, not a curated record.